CGGCAGGCCUAACACAUGCAAGUCGAGGGGCAGCACAAAGAUAGUUUACUAUUUUGGUGGCGACCGGCGCACGGGUGAGUAACGCGUAUGCAACCUACCUUAUACAGGAGUAUAGCCCGAAGAAAUUCGGAUUAAUCCUCCAUAGUAUUUUCUAAUGGCAUCAUUUGGAAAAUUAAAGCUUCGGCGGUAUAAGAUGGGCAUGCGUCCUAUUAGCUAGAUGGUAAGGUAAAGGCUUACCAUGGCUACGAUAGGUAGGGGGCCUGAGAGGGUGACCCCCCACACUGGUACUGAGACACGGACCAGACUCCUACGGGAGGCAGCAGUGAGGAAUAUUGGGCAAUGGAGGCAACUCUGACCCAGCCAUGCCGCGUGCAGGAAGAAUGCCCUAUGGGUUGUAAACUGCUUUUAUUUAGGAAUAAACCCCUCUACGUGUAGAGGGCUGAAGGUACUAAACGAAUAAGCACCGGC
This 468-nucleotide ribosomal RNA is filed under the name uncultured Bacteroidota bacterium. RNAcentral's name for it is "bacterial SSU rRNA". It matches the Rfam family "Bacterial small subunit ribosomal RNA", at positions 40 to 497 of the family's 1533-position model. The record is from RNAcentral. Lineage: Bacteria; Pseudomonadati; Bacteroidota.